UUCAACACCUCCUGCUUCCCUUGCCACAUACCAUGCCAGGCAGGUUACAUCACGUCCUUAUCUCAUAGAUAAGGCCAGCUCGAGCUUCUCGGUCCAUUCGACUGAUUUCGACCCUUCCGAUGAAUUUUCGUCCCGCGAUCAAUCCCGAAUAUUUUUCUACGCCCGUUCUGAUGAGAUGAAUAUUUUUAAUAAACUCCAAGUGAAUCCUGACCUUGAUGGAAAAUAUUUCUCGAGCCUCCGGCUUCCUCGAAAAAUCGAUAAUACCAAAAUUAGGGUUUUCGCCCAACUUCGGGUUUUCCCGUCGUGCUUCAAUCCCGUCGUGCUUGCUUCCCGUCCUGCUUAAUUCCCGUCCUGCUUGACUUAUAAUGUCUUCAGAAUAAUAUUUUACUGAUACGAAGAUAUUCUGAGAAAACUUCGCGAUGAAGAAACGUCAAUCUUCAAAAACGUCGAGCUUCUAAACCGUCGUGCUUCAAAAAUGUGAUUCUUCCAAAACUGCCGUCUGAUCAAUCUAACACUUUUCUAACCAUGGUCCAGCAGCUUAUGGUUUACCCAUGAUCAAUUCUUCGACCAUCCAUUGCCCGCGGUACAACCACUAAAUAAUAAUAUUUUUUUUUUUUUUUUUUUUUUUUUAAGGGUUUCUACAUUCUCCCCCCGUUAACAGAAUUCGUCCUCGAAUUCUAUGGCUCUGAGGGGCCUCCUUCUUUCAUUACAACGUCCUCUCGGAAUAACUCCGGGUGAUCGGUUUUAAAUCUCGCUUCAUCCUCCCAAGUAACAUGAAUCCUGUUUUGUCUUCCCCAGAACACUUGUACUUGAGCAAUCUCACGCUUUUUGAGCUUCCGAAUACGCCGUUCUCCUAAUCUGAUUGGUCCUUCCGGAUACGUAAGGUUUGUCUCCAACUCCUCGAUUCUCUCGGGUUCAACAGCACUUGGAUCCCGUAUAUGUUUCCGAAGCAUGGAAACAUGGAAUACUGGAUGUAGAUGCAUAUCUGCUGGCAGAUCCAAUCGGUAAGCUACCUCACCAACUUUCCCGAUGAUCUGUACGGACCAAUGAACCUGACCGCAAGUUUCCCGCCCUUGCCAAAUCUGUCCUUCCCUUUCUGUGCAGUAACCUUCAAAUAGACCCAAUCUCCUAUCUCAAAAGUUACUUCUCUUCUUGACUGGUCUGCGUACUUCUUCUGACGGUCUUGAGCCUUCUUCAU
RNAcentral lists this long non-coding RNA (1198 nucleotides) under Brassica rapa (field mustard). RNAcentral describes it as "long non-coding RNA (BRAP_LNC004986)". Lineage: Eukaryota; Viridiplantae; Streptophyta; Magnoliopsida; Brassicales; Brassicaceae. The record is from RNAcentral.